Dioscorea cayenensis subsp. rotundata (Guinea yam) is the source of this 776-nucleotide long non-coding RNA. RefSeq lists it as uncharacterized. The transcript is spliced from 2 exons. The record is from RefSeq and is a predicted model, not a curated record. NCBI's taxonomy places the organism in Eukaryota, Viridiplantae, Streptophyta, Magnoliopsida, Dioscoreales, Dioscoreaceae.
UUUCACGAGCAUUAUAUGCCAUCAUUAUUUUCGUCAUUAGUUUUUUCAUGGUCAGGUUCUAUCAGUGACUGUUAGAGUGAUUCAAAGGGAUGCAGAAGAAAAGAAGUCAAUUUUCAACCCAAGGCCAUAUUUCAGAUUGUUUAUUAACUGGCUUCUCCAGAUUCGGUCCUUGAUGGUGCCAACUUCCAGGUUCAUUUUUUGUACAAGGCCACUUUGAGGGUGCUACUCAUGUCGCGGCAUGAUUUUUUCUGAGUUCCUCUGUGAUUAUCACUUCAGCUUUUGUGAUGUGAUUCCUCCUAGUUGUAUCCAAAUGCGGAAUGCCAUCCUCAGUACUUUUCCGAAAAACAUGAGGCUUCCUAAUUUUUUAAUAGGUCUCACUUCUGUUAUAUUUUUCAAAUAUCAUUUUAUCUUUAAUUGUAAAAUUUCAGACAAGACCAGAUGGAUCAACUUUCUUGACAGAACUGAAGCAGAGGUUAUUACUUCCUCAGGCUGAGGCAAACAUGGCCGGGAUCACUACAAUGUCCACUUGAUAAACUCUUGUUCUGUAUUUGGGGAUGCAGGUAAAUUUUACUUCACACUGAUUACUCUCUUAUGCAGUUUCUUUGUAAAGAAAUUGUUGUGGUAGCACUUAAGUUUUAAGGAUUUUCUGUAUCAGCAAAUUUUAUGGUGCAAAAGGCUUAUGAUCGAAGUUUUGUUUUUUUAUUUCAAAACCAUGUUUAUCUGCAGGCCUAACCUUCCUAAUAUAAUAAGGCUUUAAAUCUUUUAGUUGAUUUAUA